RNAcentral lists this ribosomal RNA (521 nucleotides) under uncultured microorganism. Its description in RNAcentral is "bacterial SSU rRNA". It matches the Rfam family "Bacterial small subunit ribosomal RNA", at positions 9 to 511 of the family's 1533-position model. The record is from RNAcentral.
GAGUUUGAUCAUGGCUCAGGAUGAACGCUGGCGGCGUGCCUAAUACAUGCAAGUCGAGCGAACAGACGAGGAGCUUGCUCCUCUGACGUUAGCGGCGGACGGGUGAGUAACACGUGGAUAACCUACCUAUAAGACUGGGAUAACUUCGGGAAACCGGAGCCAAUACCGGAUAAUAUAUUGAACCGCAUGGUUCAAUAGUGAAAGACGGUUUUGCUGUCACUUAUAGAUGGAUCCGCGCCGCAUUAGCUAGUUGGUAAAGUAACGGCUUACCAAGGCAACGAUGCGUAGCCGACCUGAGAGGGUGAUCGGCCACACUGGAACUGAGACACGGUCCAGACUCCUACGGGAGGCAGGCAGUAGGGAAUCUUCCGCAAUGGGCGAAAGCCUGACGGAGCAACGCCGCGUGAGUGAUGAAGGUCUUCGGAUCGUAAAACUCUGUUAUUAGGGAAGAACAAAUGUGUAAGUAACUAUGCACGUCUUGACGGUACCUAAUCAGAAAGCCACGGCUAACUACGUGCCAG